CCCUUAGAUGUUCUGGGCCGCACGCGCGCUACACUGACGAAUGCAACGAGCUUAUAACCUUGGCCGAAAGGUCUGGGUAAUCUCCAAAUUUCGUCGUGAUGGGGAUAGAUUAUUGCAAUUAUUAAUCUUCAACGAGGAAUGCCUAGUAAGCGCAAGUCAUCAGCUUGCGUUGAUUGCGUCCCUGCCCUUUGUACACACCGCCCGUCGCUCCUACCGAUUGAAUGGUCCGGUGAAGCGUUCGGACCGUGGCCUUUGGACGGUUCGCCGUCUGUUGGCUGCGGGAAGUUCGUUAAACCUUAUCAUUUAGAGGAAGGAGAAGUCGUAACA
This 327-nucleotide ribosomal RNA is filed under the name uncultured eukaryote. RNAcentral's name for it is "partial 18S ribosomal RNA". It matches the Rfam family "Eukaryotic small subunit ribosomal RNA", at positions 1470 to 1796 of the family's 1831-position model. The record is from RNAcentral.